UACGGAGGGUGCGAGCGUUGUCCGGAAUCAUUGGGCGUAAAGGGCGCGUAGGUGGCCCGGUCAGUUCGUGGUGAAAGCGCGGGGCUCAACCCUGCGUCGGCCAUGAAUACUGCCGCGGCUGGAGCACUGUAGAGGCAGGCGGAAUUCCGGGUGUAGCGGUGGAAUGCGUAGAGAUCCGGAAGAACACCGGUGGCGAAGGCGGCCUGCUGGGCAGUUGCUGACACUGAGGCGCGACAGCGUGGGGAGCGAACCGG
This 254-nucleotide ribosomal RNA is filed under the name uncultured bacterium. RNAcentral describes it as "partial 16S ribosomal RNA". It matches the Rfam family "Bacterial small subunit ribosomal RNA", at positions 524 to 776 of the family's 1533-position model. The record is from RNAcentral.